CUACGGGGGGCAGCAGUGGGGAAUAUUGGACAAUGGGGGAAACCCUGAUCCAGCAAUGCCGCGUGUGUGAAGAAGGCCUGCGGGUUGUAAAGCACUUUCGGUUGGGAGGACUGCUUCUAGCACUAAUAUUGUUGGAAGUUGACGUUACCUUCAGAAGAAGCACCGGCUAGACUCCGUGCCAGCAGCCGCGGUAAUACGGAGGGUGCAAGCGUUAAUCGGAAUUACUGGGCGUAAAGCGCGCGUAGGCGGCUAGAUCAGUCGGGUGUGAAAGCCCCGGGCUCAACCUGGGAAUUGCAUUCGAUGCUGGCAAGAUAGAGUCUGGGAGAGGAAGGUAGAAUUCCAGGUGUAGCGGUGAAAUGCGUAGAGAUCUGGAGGAAUACCGAUGGCGAAGGCAGCCUUCUGGCCUAAUACUGACGCUGAGGUGCGAAAGCAUGGGGAGCAAACAGGAUUAGAUACCCCCGUAGUC
Molecule: ribosomal RNA, 466 nt
Filed under: uncultured bacterium
Lineage: Bacteria
Description: partial 16S ribosomal RNA
Rfam family: Bacterial small subunit ribosomal RNA
Source: RNAcentral